Molecule: ribosomal RNA, 400 nt
Filed under: uncultured bacterium
Lineage: Bacteria
Description: bacterial SSU rRNA
Rfam family: Bacterial small subunit ribosomal RNA
Source: RNAcentral
UGGGGAAUAUUGCACAAUGGGGGAAACCCUGAUGCAGCAACGCCGCGUGAGUGAUGAAGGUUUUCGGAUCGUAAAGCUCUGUCUUUGGGGAAGAUAAUGACGGUACCCAAGGAGGAAGCCACGGCUAACUACGUGCCAGCAGCCGCGGUAAUACGUAGGUGGCGAGCGUUAUCCGGAUUUACUGGGCGUAAAGGGAGCGUAGGCGGAUGAUUAAGUGGGAUGUGAAAUACCCGGGCUCAACUUGGGUGCUGCAUUCCAAACUGGUUAUCUAGAGUGCAGGAGAGGAGAGUGGAAUUCCUAGUGUAGCGGUGAAAUGCGUAGAGAUUAGGAAGAACACCAGUGGCGAAGGCGACUCUCUGGACUGUAACUGACGCUGAGGCUCGAAAGCGUGGGGAGCAAA